This is a long non-coding RNA of Xiphias gladius (swordfish), 895 nucleotides long. RefSeq lists it as uncharacterized. The transcript has 3 exons. The record is from RefSeq and is a predicted model, not a curated record. Lineage: Eukaryota; Metazoa; Chordata; Actinopteri; Istiophoriformes; Xiphiidae.
AUGGUAACGUUGGCGCUAUCGUCCCUGGUCGUCAUAGUGACAAUCCUGCCCGAGGUGGUGUCGUAGCUCCGUCCCACGGUGUAGCUCUUCUCUCUGAUUGGCUGAGGGGGAGCUUGGUUUGCUAUGACCCCGCCCUCCUGAAGUGCACAGAGGUUCGAUCAUCGGGGAGUCGUCGACCCCUCGUAGAUGUGAGGAAGCCAGACGUUUCUCCCACUCUGUCAUCCCCCCUCCUCCUCCUUCCUCUAAGAAGGAGCGUCUGAGAGCGCUGAUGGUGCUUUGAGGUUUCUGCACCUCCUCAGGACUUCCCAACAUCUCCUGAGGACACACAGGCGAGAGGACAGGACACAGAUCGGACGACAUGUGAUUACAUCAGCAGAAACAGAGCUGAGAGCUGAUUGGACAGAAAAGAACACUUCUGAUACCAAGUGUGUCCCAGUGAAGCAGAGCCCCUCCAGCCAAUCAGAAGGCAGCAUUCCUCAACAAGCUGAAUGAAAUGAGGCAUUCAGAGCUGUGGACAGUAACAGAGCAGUACUGCAGUAGUACUACAGCCAGCAGCAUUGUUCGUACAGUAAUGAGCUCUACCUGUGUGUGUACCACCGUUGGCUUUGGGGGAAGCUGUAAUGGCUGGAGAGCCAAUCAGAGAGGGUGUGGGUGUGGUCCUCGGGCCUGAGGACCAAUCAAAAACUCAGGUCACCAACAAGUAAAGAAAGAACCCCCCCCAAACUACUACCACCACUAGGAUCGGUACUACAACUACUGGGACAAGUACCGCAACAAGUACGGACGGCUGGUUGAACACUUCUGGUUCUAAAACUACUACUACUACAGUAGUAGUAGUAGUAGUACUGCAGUAGUGCAACUGGGACCAAAACGAUUUUUAGUAUCUGAACUAUGA